AGCGGCGGAUGGGUGAGUAACACGUGGGGAACCUGCCCCUAAGUCUGGGAUACCAUUUGGAAACAGGUGCUGAUACCGGAUAAUAAAGCAGAUCGCAUGAUCAGCUUUUGAAAGGCGGCGUAAGCUGUCGCUAAGGGAUGGCCCCGCGGUGCAUUAGCUAGUUGGUAAGGUAACGGCUUACCAAGGCGACGAUGCAUAGCCGAGUUGAGAGACUGAUCGGCCACAUUGGGACUGAGACACGGCCCAAACUCCUACGGGAGGCAGCAGUAGGGAAUCUUCCACAAUGGACGCAAGUCUGAUGGAGCCACGCCGCGUGAGUGAAGAAGGUUUUCGGAUCGUAAAGCUCUGUUGUUGGUGAAGAAGGAUAGAGGUAGUAACUGGCCUUUAUUUGACGGUAAUCAACCAGAAAGUCACGGCUAACUACGUGCCAGCAGCCGCGGUAAUACGUAGGUGGCAAGCGUUGUCCGGAUUUAUUGGGCGUAAAGCGAGCGCAGGCGGAAAAAUAAGUCUAAUGUGAAAGCCCUCGGCUUAACCGAGGAACUGCAUCGGAAACUGUUUUUCUUGAGUGCAGAAGAGGAGAGUGGAACUCCAUGUGUAGCGGUGGAAUGCGUAGAUAUAUGGAAGAACACCAGUGGCGAAGGCGGCUCUCUGGUCUGCAACUGACACUGAGGCUCGAGAGCAUGGGUAGCGAACAGGAUUAGAUACCCUGGCAGUCCAUGCCGUAAACGAUGAGUGCUAAGUGU
Molecule: ribosomal RNA, 743 nt
Filed under: uncultured bacterium
Lineage: Bacteria
Description: bacterial SSU rRNA
Rfam family: Bacterial small subunit ribosomal RNA
Source: RNAcentral